This 23-nucleotide non-coding RNA is filed under the name Arabidopsis thaliana (thale cress). Lineage: Eukaryota; Viridiplantae; Streptophyta; Magnoliopsida; Brassicales; Brassicaceae. The record is from RNAcentral.
UCCAAAUGGGUGUGAUGCGAACA